RNAcentral lists this long non-coding RNA (265 nucleotides) under Mytilus galloprovincialis (Mediterranean mussel). Lineage: Eukaryota; Metazoa; Mollusca; Bivalvia; Mytilida; Mytilidae. The record is from RNAcentral.
UUCCUAUGAUAAUUGAGCUUUCUUAGGAUAUGAAAAACUACAGCGAGGUGCAGUUGCUAAAUCACAUGCAAAUAUUGUUUUAGUUGCUUCCUUUGUCACAUUGUAUUCUAAUGUAGAUUCCCUAUAGUAUUGGGCAACCGUCGUACGACAUGCCAGUCGUGUUAAUAUUAUUUCACAUAUUCAGAAAAGUAUUCAUCAGUUUGCCUCUUUAUACACCAUCGAAGACACCGCGGUGCUGUGAAUGUGCACGACAAGCUAAUUCUAC